This 691-nucleotide ribosomal RNA is filed under the name Echiniscus testudo. Its description in RNAcentral is "12S ribosomal rRNA". The record is from RNAcentral. Lineage: Eukaryota; Metazoa; Tardigrada; Heterotardigrada; Echiniscoidea; Echiniscidae.
UUAUGAACUCAAAAGCUUUAAUUAGCUUAUCAUAUUUAUAAAAAAAUUAAAAUAAUAAUAAUUUUUUUUUUAGUGUUAAUAAAAUUUUAUAUAGUUAAUAUUAUUUUUUAAAUAACUUAUUUAUUUAAUUAAAAAUUCACUAUAAAAAUAAAAUUUAUAAAUUUAGAAAUAAAAUUAAUAUAUUAAUAAUAUAAGGUUAAUUAAAUGCCAGCAUCCGCGGUUAUAUUUAAUUAAAUUAUUAAUUGUUUUUUUUGAAAUUAUAUUAUAAGAAAAAAGUGAAAUUUUUAUUAUUAUUAAUAUUCAAAAUUAGAUUAAAAACAAGAUUAGGUACCUUGAUAUUAGUUUAAAAAAGAAUAAUAAAUAAUUUAAAUAAUUUGGCGGCUAAUAUUAAUAGAGAAACUUGUGUUUAAUAGAAAAUACUCUAAAAAAUAAAUUUUAAUUUAAGCUUUAUAUCGCCGUUAAUUAUUUAUUAAAUGUUUAAAAAAAAUAUUUUUCAGGUAAAAUAAACUUUAUAUAAAAAUAAAUAUUAGUUUUAAUAUUUUUUUUUCUGAUUUAAAAGUAAAAAGAAAAUUUAUAACCAAAUUAGUAAAAACAUAUUAAUUAAAAAUUUUUUAUUAGUGCACAUAUCGCCCGUCAUUUUAAUAACAUUAAAAAAGUCGUAACAAAGUGGAUUUGUUAGAAAAUAAAUCUU